UAUAUAGUAUCCACCUCCAAAUCAAACAACACAGCUAUUAAACUACUUGCUCCUUUUACAUCCAACAAAAGAAAAUGCAAGCAGCUAAAGAAGUAGCUACAUUAGCUCCUCUUUUGGUGCUUACUAUUUGUAAAUGUUGGAACGCAUCCUUAAGAUUAUAUCCUAAUAUGUACAAUUUCAUUUCUACAGAAAGCUUGUUAAAUAUUUACAUUCCGCGCAACUCCAAG
Molecule: unclassified non-coding RNA, 227 nt
Filed under: Hevea brasiliensis (rubber tree)
Lineage: Eukaryota; Viridiplantae; Streptophyta; Magnoliopsida; Malpighiales; Euphorbiaceae
Source: RNAcentral